This is a non-coding RNA of Paramarasmius palmivorus, 85 nucleotides long. Lineage: Eukaryota; Fungi; Basidiomycota; Agaricomycetes; Agaricales; Marasmiaceae. The record is from the annotation of a GenBank genome assembly.
GGCCUGAUGGUCUAGUAGUAUGAUUCCUUGUUAGGGUAUCAAAGUCCAAUCGAGGAGGUCCCGGGUUCAAUUCCCGGUCAGGCCC